GGAGGAUUGACCGAGUGGCUAAGGAGCCGCAUUGGAAAUGCGGUAAGGUGUAACAGCCCCGUGGGUUCGAGUCCCAUGUCCUCCGCCA
RNAcentral lists this transfer RNA (88 nucleotides) under Pasteurella multocida. RNAcentral describes it as "tRNA-Ser". It matches the Rfam family "tRNA". From Rfam's summary of the family: Transfer RNA (tRNA) molecules are approximately 80 nucleotides in length. Their secondary structure includes four short double-helical elements and three loops (D, anti-codon, and T loops). Lineage: Bacteria; Pseudomonadati; Pseudomonadota; Gammaproteobacteria; Pasteurellales; Pasteurellaceae. RNAcentral also lists the same sequence under 12 other names. The record is from RNAcentral.